UACGAAGGGGGCUAGCGUUGUUCGGAUUUACUGGGCGUAAAGCGCACGUAGGCGGAUCUUUAAGUCAGAGGUGAAAUCCCAAGGCUCAACCUUGGAACUGCCUUUGAUACUGGGAUCUUGAGUUCGGGAGAGGUGAGCGGAACUGCGAGUGUGGAGGUGAAAUUCGUAGAUAUUCGCAAGAACACCAGUGGCGAAGGCGGCUCACUGGCCCGAUACUGACGCUGAGGCACGAAAGCGUGGGUAGCAAACAGG
RNAcentral lists this ribosomal RNA (252 nucleotides) under uncultured bacterium. RNAcentral's name for it is "partial 16S ribosomal RNA". It matches the Rfam family "Bacterial small subunit ribosomal RNA", at positions 524 to 776 of the family's 1533-position model. The record is from RNAcentral.